This 1140-nucleotide ribosomal RNA is filed under the name Nematobrachion boopis. RNAcentral's name for it is "partial 28S ribosomal RNA". It matches the Rfam family "Eukaryotic large subunit ribosomal RNA", at positions 1306 to 1924 of the family's 3401-position model. Lineage: Eukaryota; Metazoa; Arthropoda; Malacostraca; Euphausiacea; Euphausiidae. The record is from RNAcentral.
CUAGCCCUGAAAAUGGAUGGCGCUCAAGCGUCCUCCCGAUACUCGACCGUCGGGGCAGUUAUGGCCAUUUUUGGUCUCGAAGCCCCGACGAGUAGGAGGGUCGUGGCGGUGAGCGUUGAAGGGACCGGCGUGAGCCGGCCUGGAGCCGCCGCUAGUGCAGAUCUUGGUGGUAGUAGCAAAUACUCGAGUGAGAUCCUUGAGGACUGAAGUGGAGAAGGGUUCCAUGUGAACAUCAGUUGAACAUGGGUUAGUCGGUCCUAAGCCUCAGCCGAAAGGCGGUCUCAGCGCUGGCAAGGUGUCAACUUAAUCCAAAGCCUUUGAAAACGGGGUGUAUCUAGUAGUCUUUCUCUUGUGUUGGGUGAGUGGUUGUUUCUACGCCGUCCAAAGCGUUGAACUCGAUCUCACUCGGCCUUGGAGGGCGAAAGUUACUACCCUUCGAGGGUGGACGCUUCUCCCACACAACCACCUGGGAGGAAUAUCCUGUACGCUUCCGUCCCCCAAAAGACGGAGGUGUCAGGCGUUUGCCCUACAGCCGUUGUAGAUUUUUAGGCGAAAGGGAAUCUGGUACUUAUUCCAGAACCUCGUCCCGGAUAAGACGUCCCCGAGUCUUCGGGCGAGGGUAUAACGGUCCUGGUAACGGGAGUGACCCUGCAUACACUGGCGGCGGUCCGAGGAAGAGUUUUCUUUUAUGUUUAAGACUCUGUGACCCUGGAAGCUACUCGCAAGGCGAUAGGUCGUGUAGCGUAGAGCGCCGCGGUUCUUGCGGCGUCCCGUGCGCCGUCGUCGGUCCUUGAAAAUGCAGCGAGGCGGAACACUCCUGGUCUACUCGUAACCAUGCCUUUGGAUACUUAAGACGCCGUCCACCGCGUUGAAAAGUUGUCCUGGUUUUGGAAGCCUUUAGCACCGAUGGAUUGCAUAGUACGCUCUACGACGUCACUGACACUGGUACCUAGUCGUGUCGAUGCUCAGGAACUGAGUGGGUGCUUUCUCUAUUUGAACGGUGUCAAAGCCGUUCUUAUUGGGUUUGCAAUUACCUUCGACGGACUUUCGGGCGAGUCCGAACCCAUAUCCGUAGCAGGUCUCCAAGGUGAAUAGCCUCUAGUCGAUAGAUUAAUGUAGGUAAGGGAAGUCGGCAAAUUA